Long non-coding RNA from Sebastes umbrosus (honeycomb rockfish), 149 nucleotides. RefSeq lists it as uncharacterized. The record is from RefSeq and is a predicted model, not a curated record. The transcript has 3 exons. NCBI's taxonomy places the organism in Eukaryota, Metazoa, Chordata, Actinopteri, Perciformes, Sebastidae.
UAGUUUGACCGUUUGGUCAGAGUUUGCGAGUGAUUGACAGCCGGCUCUCAUAGACAGCAGAUGGACAGCAGACCCCAGAUCAGCUCUGACUGCUUGUUUUCUUCCAGUCUGUGAGAUCUUGCAGAUGCUGAUAGGAGCACCGGAGGACA